ACCAACUGGCAGACUAUUAUCAAAAUUUAUCUUUAGAUGGUCAUACCUAGGUGCAAAACUCAUCAAAAGAACCGAGGCUGAUAUCCUCACCACGGUGGGCUUUUCCGGCUUAAUCAGGCCCGGCCCGUUUGUUACUUUUUAAUAAAUUGCUUUAAAAAAUUGUUCUAGCUCUUGAAGCCCCACCCGGACUCUCUCCGCACGCCCCUCUCCUCAUCCGCCUCUACUAUCCUCCACCGCUCGCCUCUCCUCCUCCGUUUAUACCACGUUUUUCGUUCGCGGCCGUGCCCCUAGCCGGCGACAGACCACCGCUCCUCCGCCCGCUCGUUCUCCCUGCUUCGGUGAGGUGGCUGAUAAAAAUAUCGAGGAAGAAGAAGGGCGGUGGAAUGGUGGAAGAGAAAGAGGCGCAGUACUACUCCAAAGAUUUCCAAUGGGAGGAGCUCCGAGAAGAGGUGGAGCGAGACCCCUCUCUCCGUCACCACCUCGCCCCUUUCCCCUCCUCUUCUCCCCAUCCGAGCGACGUGGACGCCUGGAGGCGCUUCCACCGGCGCCAUUCCACUGGAAGAUUUUUCAAGGAAAGGCGCUACUUGUUGAAGGAAUUUCCAGAAUUAGUUUAUUGUGAUGAUUUCACCAAUCUUUUGGAGGUGGGAUGUGGAAAUGGAAGCACAGUUCUUCCCAUCUUACGUGCAAAACAGAAUAUUCUUGUAUAUGCUUGUGACUGCAGCGAGGAGGUCCUUGAAAAGGCAAAGGAGAUUUUAGCUACUGCUAAUGCAGUCUCACUUGAACAACGGUUCCAUCCAUUUUUACUUGACUUUUCUGUAGGUGGCUUUCCAAAUUGGUUGUUCUGCGCUUCUUGUCAAAAGAAUUCCUUGGCAAAGCCUUUAAACUUCCCAUCAGAUUUUAAAGAAAACGAAUCAACAACAUUGAAUGAUUUAUCCUUCUUGCGAGAAGAUAGAUGUUGUAUUGGUGGAGUUGAUUUUAUUACUUUGAUUUUUACCAUGUCAGCGGUACCGCUUCAAAAGAUGUCAUUUGUUGCUGAUAAUUGUUUCUCUGUUUUAAAACCUGGGGGUUUGCUCUUAUUCAGAGAUUAUGGCCUUUAUGACAUGACAAUGCUUCGAUUUUUGCCGGAGCAGAGAGUGGGGUGCAAUGUGUACAUGAGAUCAGAUGGCACUCUUUCAUAUUUUUUCUCACUGGAUAUUGUAAGGGAUCUCUUCCUUGGUGCUGGCUUCAUUGAGUUGGAGCUUGAAUAUUGUUGUGUAAGGUCAGUGAAUCGCCGUAAUGGGAAGAAGAUGCAAAGGGUUUGGGUUCAUGGAAAGUUCCAAAAACCCUCAUAAUGCUUCCUACUUCAUUUUAACAUCUGCUCAAGGUUGAGUAGAAAGAAAUUGUGGAGGGUUCUUUUCUGCUGUGGCCCAAUUAAAGAGGUAAAAUAGUGCAGAGAGCUGUUUCUUGAUGGUUCACUGGUUCAAUUGUACAAACAAAUCAGCUACUUUUCUGUUAGAAUGACUUUCUAAUGUGGCGUUCUGUUUUACCUGCACCAAGAGGUGACCAUGAUAACAGUUAUGUGAUGCGGUAACAUAAGUUUUGGUAAGAAGUAGUUGAUGAGUCGAAGCAACCACUGCUUCAAUCCAUUAUUCUGCUGUGUCAGAGGGGUGAUGUUUGUUUUCUGUGUUUUCCUGUGGGUGAGAGUCAAAAGAAAGAGUUCAAGCAUUGAGAUUAUGGAGGUACCCAGAUGUCCAUGGAAUGCUAAGCAGAAUUGAACACACAUGGUGAUUUUCUUGAUAAAAUCAAAAACAUGCAAGUAGUAAGGCUCCUUGGAUGACAGGCGAUUUGGAAACUGCUUGUUAGGUUGACUCAAACAUUUAUUCGUAAAUGAAUAUUUUUGAUACAGGUUUUAUAUGCUUAUUUUUAGGCAACUUAUAAUUUGGAAGCAGAUUCCUUCAAUAUAUUUUACUAGGUGAGUUUGGAAACUUGAGAUAUCAUUCAUCAUUGAAGUCUACCUUGAGUAAGGAGAUAAGCAUGGAGACCUAUUUUUAUCUUGACAGAAUGUGACAAAGUCAAAUAAUUCAUUUUUUUCUUAAUCGAUCAUGUAGUCUGUUUACCUUCAUGCUUCACCCCAAGUGAUUAGAUUCUUUCUAGUAUAAUGCUUAUUCUUUGCAUAUAUUUUGCAAUCAGUGAUUGAUGACACCUCAUCAAACUUUUUUCUGUCAUCAUUCCUCCUAGUUCUCCAUUCAAACAAGUAUUAAUACCAACCAUGUGCCAAUGCCAUUAAACUUUCUCCAUCAUCAUUCCUCCAUGUUUUUCCAUUCAAACACGAUAUCGAUAUAGAGGGCCCAAUUCUGGGGCAUUCUAUAAUAUGAAUUGUUUAAUCAUUAAUGUUAAGGACAGCAGCAUACUGAUCAUGUGUGGCUGCAAGUACAGCAUACAUGUGAGAAAUAUGAUGUUCCUACCGUGAUUAAUUUUCAAAUGGAAGUAAAAUGGUAUCAGUACUGUAUCAUGCAGAAAGGAUGGUAUUCAAGUAGUUGAUGAUGUACUUAGCAAUACAUAUACAUGAGUUCUUUAUGAUUUCUGCUUUGCCUUUGUUUGUGCUGUAAAUUCAUUAAUUUCCUGUCCAUUAGUCGAUCAGAAGUAAAUCAUGAAUUGCCACCUAAUUGUGGAAGCUGGAGAGGUCUCAUCACAUUUUUCAGAUAUCUGUACUCUGUGCCCUCACAUAGAGUGUUUUCCUCCUAAUCAACAGAAGAUCAGAUCGGGUUUUCUGCCUGAAGUUUUGCUAGAUGGAAGGACCUACGAAUGGAUUCUUCUGUGCCAGCAAUGAAGGGAAAAAUUUUAUCUUUCUGGUGCACCACAAGUUUUUAUCUACAGCUCAUAAGUUUGUUACUUAUUCUCGGCCCCCAAACUCUUCAACCAAUUGACUUGCAAGUUGUAAUCUAUAUAAUUUAUUGCAGCCCCAAUACGUCUUUACCCAUUAUCAGACAUGUUAUUGCACCCUUUAAUCUUUCUUCUCACAGAAUAUAAC
Phoenix dactylifera (date palm) is the source of this 3010-nucleotide RNA transcript. It is a transcript of the gene named Methyltransferase family protein, with no coding region annotated. The record is from RefSeq and is a predicted model, not a curated record. NCBI's taxonomy places the organism in Eukaryota, Viridiplantae, Streptophyta, Magnoliopsida, Arecales, Arecaceae.